Long non-coding RNA from Acyrthosiphon pisum (pea aphid), 5792 nucleotides. RefSeq lists it as uncharacterized. The record is from RefSeq and is a predicted model, not a curated record. Lineage: Eukaryota; Metazoa; Arthropoda; Insecta; Hemiptera; Aphididae. The transcript has 2 exons.
CACACACACACAUAAUUGUAAAUGUAAACAUUCAUUGCUCCGUUCAGAAUCUGUACCUAAUCUGGUUAUAUUAUUAUACCCGGGUUGUUUUUUUUUUGCAGUUGUAAAACGAAAUUAACUCGAUUUGUCCUUUUACGGAGCAACGGUCGUUUAUACCUAAUUAGAAAAAUAAAAAACUCUGCAGCAAUAACACUGCGAUUUGACAUUCCUCGAAAAGGAUAAUACGUGAGACGGACUCGCGGGGUCUGGAAAAUAAAAUGAUAAAUAAUACGAUGUAAAUUAUACAAUGACGCUUUUAAUGAACUGCAGGCAACUGGUACGACGAUAGACCUACUGUAAUUAUCAUGACGACCAAAUUGAAUUUGGCAAUAAUAAUAUUACGUUUUUGUUUUUGAAACAAACUCCGAUACAGUUUUAUCGCGCGCCGUCACAGCUAGUAUUUUAAUAAUAUUGUCGAUUAAAUCAACAACAACAACAACAUUAAUAAAAACUAUAACAUCAGCAACAACGAAAACUGAAAAAACAAAUGCAAAAACCGUAGUUAUAAUAAUAAAACUACUAAUUAUUGUUUUGUGAUUGAUUUUGCUGCACGAAAUUGUAAUGUAAGCUCAUAUUAUACACUCGUGUAUGUGUUAUAAUAUAGGUACUAUCAUCUAUUCGCAGGAAUAAUAAUAUAAAGUCCUUUAAAAGGCCCGUAAUUGGUUAUGGUCUACAAUGACGUUAACACAAUAUCAUAUUAACAUUAUUAUUAUAAUUACAACAGUCAAUUGUACGGUUCACAGUGUAUGCGAUUUGAAUGGUGGUAUAAUUGCAACGUUGUGUCAUAAUUUUUUAGCUACACACGUAUGUUAUACGACAUAAUAUUAUUGUAAAGUAAUGGGCCCACCGAUGGUCGUCCACGAGUCCGCAAGAAUCGGUGAUGGUUAUGCUUAUCAUUUAUCAUGUAUAUAAUAUAAUAUUGGGUACUUACUUACAUUAAACGCACUGGGUUCACGCUAGUGAUUUUAGCCAAACUUGGUUGUAUGUGAUUUGCGACAUAUCGGACAGCUUGCAAGACGCACUAGGUACAUGAACUCACAUUUUGAUGGAUCAAAUUUGUAAAAUUUGCAUUUUCAUAAAUAAAAUCACGCAUGUGAGAAUAAUCAAGUAAAAUAUUGUAUAAAAGCGAACUCAGCUCUUUAGAUAAAAAAAAAAAAAUCGUGGUUGAUGCGGUAGGUAGUAUUUUUGUUGUGUUAAUAAAUUAUUUUAAAAAUUUUAAUUAAACACAACCGAAAAAGAAAUUCGAACAAUUUAUAAGAUAUUAUUUUACCUAAAUAAAAUAAAGCAUCUAUAACGGAGUACAUAUUAUACUAUAUAUAAUAUGUAUACCUAUACCAUCUCAUACAUAUUGGAAGAUCCGGUUUAUGAUUCAUCUAUAUUAUAUUUUCAUAAUUUAUAUUAUGCCUCACGACCUCUUUGAAUUUCGUCUGAGAAAGUAAAGUGAUAUAUUAUUUGUUUUUAAUAAGUUCGUACAAGUAAAACAGACUGAACCAUAAUAUAUUACAAUACUUGUAAGUUGCAAGUAUGUUGUAAUAUAAUAUAAUCGAUAUUGAUUAAAACAAUAACCAAUAUCACCUAUCGAUUACAAAAAUUGUUUUCAAAUAAAACAAUUUUCAUAGCACAAGGUAUCUCACAUUUUUUCAAACAAUUUAUCGUUAUGCAAGACGUCGAACAUCCAAAGUUGUAAAUCGCAUUCGACAAAACUAUUAUUCUUGAACGCUUUGAACUGUUCGAGUAAACCAGAAAACAAAACUGAUCGUAUUUGGGGGGAAAAGUGGUCCUCAUAAAAACAACGUAAUAAAAUGUGGGACAAAAAUAAAGUACGAAAAUGGCAAGAGAGGAAAUCUAUACACAAAUGUGAGAAAAAAAACUCUGACUGUGACCCACCUCCAUAUUAUUAUCUAUCCCACCCAAAGAUUUACCUGCCACUGUUACAUCAUUAUGAUACAAUAUAUUACGCAUGGUGGUUUGAAAACCUUGGAUGGAUAAAGUGGAGACAAACGAUCAAAUACCGAGCAGUUCGUGAUCCAUUUAUCAAAAUAAAAUAAAAACCGCACACGGCGCCGUGGCAUCUUUACGGGACGUUUUUCAUUCCAGCCUAGUCUGGGUCUUCUGAUAAUCCGUCACAAUUUAUAAUAUAUUAUUAUAAGGCCAUGAAAUUUAAAUAUAAAUACAUUAUAUAUGCAAACUUUUGUUAUAAUAAUAAUUUGUAUAAGAAUUAUUAAUUCAGUAAUAAUAUUAUAUUAUUAUUACACACAAUAUUACGUUGGCAAACACCACUCUAUAUAACUACUUUAUUAAUAUCUAUAUAAUGUUAUAUAAUAUUAUGAUCAGAGGUGUAACAAGUCUAUUGUUGCGAGGUAUGAGGCCCUAAGGCUUUUGGAUUCGCAUAUUAUAUCCGCUGUGGCACUGUGGAUUUUCUUUGGUUCAACAUUCAUAUAUUCGAAUGAAUGUUUGAAAGUGAUUUUGUUCCACAAUAUUUCCUAACUUCAACUUUGGUAAACGAUAAACAUCUAGUAAGUACAAUUACAUCGUUUCACUAUUGAAUAGCAUGCAGCGAAUCUUGUAUAUAUACUUGGAACGCAUUGUCCUAAAGCUCCCAAAAAAUAAUGCACUUUAAACCCUAUAUAGUCAUAAGACAUUUUAUGCCGUCGUCGCGGAUGCACAGUCGCAGUACUACAACAACAUCAAUGAAGUCGUUAAAAUAUUUUCCUGUACUUAUACCCACCAUAAUAUUAUAGAGUAAAGAAGACUGGUAAAUGAUAUAUAAAUGUACUAAUUAUUAGGUGUAUGAUGGGUGCAGCGUCGCGCCUACUGUCUGGUUGAAAAAAAAUAUCGUUACGGACAUAUUAUUUUACGCAAUAAUUAUUAUCAUUAUUUGAGUCGUGAAACGUUAACACAUUCGUUUAAUCCCUCCGAAGCCUAUGUGCACACCACAAUUAACAUGUCGUACGCCCGUUUUAAUUUUUAGUUUUUAUACGAUCGAUAUUAUUUAUUUUUUUUUACAAGAAUAUCAUUAUUUUUUAAAUGGUGUGUUUACAAGCAAAUAAUAUGAUAUUAUAUACCUUCGUAAAUCUACGCGUUCGAACGAACAAAAUCGUUAAAAUACAGCGGUGUAUCAUACCUAAAGGUUGUUAUGGACACUUCGUGUAGAACGAUACAGCUGUUGGAAUAUAUUUUUAGUAAACCAUUCCUAUAUGUGUGAAGGAAGGGGUGAUGCGAAUAUUUAAAGUCGUAUGUAAUAUAAAAUGAUAAUAGGUAUUCAGAAGAAAAAAAUUGUUCACAUUAUUUAUUUCAAUUUGAUUUUAUUUUAUUCAAAACUCUGCAAAUUAUUAACUAUCGACACACGGGUUAAUUAAUGUACCUACCUAUUAUAAUAAAAGUGCAUUACACGGGUUUUUCGUUAAAUAAUAGUUUGAACUUGAGCACUUUCACAAGACAAUUAUUUGUAAUCGUGAUAACCGUCAUCUAUCACGCAUUUUUGAAUUUCCAUUUUUGAAACUCUCAACGAUUAAGAAUGAUAAUGCAAUAAUAUAAAUUGUAUGUGCAAAGAACAUUUUGAAAUUUGUUGUUAAAUGAAAUUGUUUUUGUUAAGAGAUAGCUACUAAUGCAAUAAUUGAGUAUCCAUAUGAUACUCACAUGAUAUCACAUAUCAACCACGUGGAAUACAAUAUUAACCAUUAUAGUUGGAGACACGUGAUUUUACAAAAACACGAAAAAACAAGUCAUUAGACAUAGCGGCUAAGCACCAUUAGAGGUAUAAAUUACUAAUAAUUAAAUUAUUCAAUUUCACGGAUCAGAAUCUUGGAUUUAUUCAAGGGGGUAGGUUAAAUUUCUAACUAUAUGAAGCUAUGAAAAUGUUUAUUAUAAAGUGUUAAGGGUAGUUAUGCGUAAUUCCCAUAAAAAAAAUUAAUUCCAUACACAGCUUAAUUCAUUAAUAUUUAUCGUCAGGGUUUGUCAAUAAUGCAUAGGUACUAAACCAAAAUAUUAAUAUUUAUUAAUCAUAAAUAUUAAUAUUUUGCUUUUAUCAUAAUUAUGACUCUUAAUUUUUAAUAAAACGUAUACUUUAAAAUAAACUUUAUUAUUUGAAAACUACAACAUUUUAAAUCGAUACCUACCUAAUUUUUUUUUCUUUCGUUUGAACUCACCCCAUUUUUUCCUGCUUGUAUCCGCCGCUGAUUUAAUUUAUUGAAGAUAAUAUUAAAUAAUAAAAAUGCCGUGUUUUCUGUUUCUAUUUUUUUUUACCCAUUUAUAACACGGCCGGAUUAGGUAACCUGCACAUUAUUACAGGUUAUUUUUCAUAUCUGCACACGAAAACUUACAUAAUUAUAUUUUACGCGUUCGUGUUCUACACGUACCAAUUAAUGUCAGAUCGAGUUUGAAAAUAAUUUUCGUUUUCCAUUUGUAAAAUCGUAAUGUUAUGCCAUUUUUGUGCCAUUUUCAUGUCAGGUAGGUGUAGGCUAUAGGCAGGCAUAUUAUAAUAAUCAUAAUUCUCGACCGCAGGAAAUAAAAGUAUUAUAAUAUCCACCACGCAGUAUAAGAACUGCAGUGUAAGUAUAUCGUUAUUACGUUCAAAUUACAUUCGAUCAAACCCGACGAUAGCUGUUGGUGUAGUACCUAUACAGUGCAAGUUAAAAAAAAGCGAAAAUGUUUAGGUUGUGCUGAAAAAAAAUUAACAAUCGUCAUGACAUAACCACUGUACACGAAUUAUAUAUUUUAAAACCCGGUAGGAAUUUUAAUGUAGUAUAGUACCUAUGUAUGUAUAAUAUAAUAUGUAUGGUUUAGAAUUUAAUGGUAUUUUGCCGUUUACGCAUGCGAUAUGCACAUUUGCAUUUUCAACUUUUUCAACUUUACGGCCGAAGAGGCGCAUGAAAAAAUAAUUAAUUUAAAAAUGCAUUACAGUUUCUACUGCUGCAGUUGUAAAGUUCUGUAGUACAUUAUUUCAACUGUCGGGGAAGCAAUGCCCCGACACUUUUGUACUGCUUUAUGCGCGUUGUGCACGGCAUGGAAUUUCUCGUUUAUAAUAAAUAAUAAUAUUAUAUAUAUUAAAGACUAAAAUAAAAACAAUCACGUCACGAUAUAAACGGCCUAGAAAAGUAUUAAAAUUGAGUCCGUAUGGUAUUUUGUAUUCUACAUAACACACAACUUAUUAUUAAAACAGUAAAGCGCCUUACAUGUUUGUAACGAUACAUAUUAAUUAACUAUUUUAUGUUGAACUCUAAAGACUAAAACAAUCAAUGAAAUAGCCAUCAAAAAGAUCGUCCUGUGGCAAACUCUAACCAAAUACCAAUCUCAUAUCGUCUCUUGUAGCUCACUUCUUAAACACUUCCGUGAAAUCCUACCAGACAUUACAAACGCAGCUCGGCAGUUACUUAUACAUAUAUCAAUAUGAGCAUAGUUUGUAUAUGACUUAAAACUUAUGAUCAUGUAAAGGUGACAAAUUAACUUACUGUGAAAAAAAGAACAGAUCGUAAAUAUUUAGUAAACAUUUAUACUAAAAACAACAAAAGUUGUUAUAGUAUGGGUGACAAGACCACAAGUGGGAACUGCAGCAACUUAUUUCUAAAAAUAAUAACUCUUAGGGCCGGUUGCACAAAACUAUAUUGGUUCAAUUAAUAGUUAUUGGUCCAAUAAGUUGAGUUAUUGAAUCGAUAAAAAUUAAAAUACGUUGCACAAAGUUAUUGAACCAAUAAGUUAUCGACCAUUAGUCACUAUUGAUCCAUAAAUUUAUAGGCCCGAUUUUGGUCCAAUAA